Molecule: transfer RNA, 77 nt
Filed under: Pseudomonadota bacterium
Lineage: Bacteria; Pseudomonadati; Pseudomonadota
Description: Proteobacteria bacterium (groundwater metagenome) tRNA-Arg
Rfam family: tRNA
About the family: Transfer RNA (tRNA) molecules are approximately 80 nucleotides in length. Their secondary structure includes four short double-helical elements and three loops (D, anti-codon, and T loops).
Source: RNAcentral
GCACCCGUAGCUCAGCUGGAUAGAGUACAUGACUACGAAUCAUGCGGUCGCACGUUCGAAUCGUGCCGGGUGCGCCA